AAGUGAUUGCAUUGCGUGGUAGGGGAGCUUCGUAUACGGGCAGAAGCUAUACCGAAAGGAGUAGUGGACUGUAUACGAGUGAGAAUGCUGGCAUAAGUAGCGAGAAAUAGGUGAGAAUCCUAUUCGUCGAAAACCUAAGGUUUCCUGAGGAAGGCUCGUCCGCUCAGGGUUAGUCGGGACCUAAGCCGAGGCCGAAAGGCGUAGGUGAUGGACAAUCGGUUGAUAUUCCGAUACCACCAGAAGCCGUUUGAGAGAAGGGGUGACGCAGGAGGAUAGGCUAAGCGCACUGAUGGAUGUGCGUCCAAGGGUUAAGUCAGGCUCCUUAGGCAAAUCCGGGGAGCUAAUGAUAAGGCCUGAUGGGGAGUGCGCAAGCACGAAGUGGCUGAUUUCACACUGCCGAGAAAAGCCUCUAUCGAGGAAGCUGGUGCCCGUACCGCAAACCGACACAGGUAGGUGAGGAGAGAAUCCUAAGACGAGCGAGAGAACCCUUGUUAAGGAACUCGGCAAAUUGACCCCGUAACUUCGGGAGAAGGGGUGCUCUAGAAAUAGAGCCGCAGAGAAUAGGCCCAGGCGACUGUUUAGCAAAAACACAGGUCUCUGCUAAGUCGUAAGACGAUGUAUAGGGGCUGACGCCUGCCCGGUGCUGGAAGGUUAAGGGGAAGGGUUAGCCAAAAGGCGAAGCCUUGAACUUAAGCCCCAGUAAACGGCGGCCGUAACUAUAACGGUCCUAAGGUAGCGAAAUUCCUUGUCGGGUAAGUUCCGACCUGCACGAAUGGCGUAACGACCUGGGCGCUGUCUCAACAAGGGACUCGGCGAAAUUGUAGUACCGGUGAAGAUGCCGGUUACCCGCAAUUGGACGGAAAGACCCCGUAGAGCUUUACUGCAGCUUAGCAUUGAGUUUCGGUAUUGUCUGUACAGGAUAGGUGGGAGACGGAGAAGCAGGGCCGUCAGGUUCUGUGGAGUCGACCUUGGGAUACCACCCUGAUGAUACUGGAGCUCUAACCGGAGGCUUUGAAGCAAGUCACGGGACAUUGCUAGGCGGGCAGUUUGACUGGGGCGGUCGCCUCCUAAAAUGUAACGGAGGCGCUCAAAGGUUCCCUCAGUGCGGUUGGAAAUCGCGCGAAGAGUGUAAAGGCAGAAGGGAGCCUAACUGCGAGACUGACAAGUCGAGCAGGGACGAAAGUCGGACUUAGUGAUCCGGUGGUACCAAGUGGAAGGGCCAUCGCUCAACGGAUAAAAGCUACCUCGGGGAUAACAGGCUGAUCUCCCCCAAGAGUCCACAUCGACGGGGAGGUUUGGCACCUCGAUGUCGGCUCGUCGCAUCCUGGGGCUGAAGUAGGUCCCAAGGGUUGGGCUGUUCGCCCAUUAAAGCGGCACGCGAGCUGGGUUCAGAACGUCGUGAGACAGUUCGGUCCCUAUCCGUUGCGGGCGCAGGAAAUUUGAGAGGAGCUGUCCUUAGUACGAGAGGACCGGGAUGGACGAACCUAUGGUGCACCAGUUGUUCCGCCAGGAGCACAGCUGGGUAGCUAUGUUCGGAAGGGAUAAGCGCUGAAGGCAUCUAAGCGUGAAGCCCACCUCAAGAUGAGAUUUCCCACAGCGUAAGCUGGUAAGACCCCUCAAAGAACAUGAGGUUGAUAGGCCUGAGGUGUAAGCGUCGUGAGGCGUUCAGCUGACAGGUACUAAUAGGUCGAGGGCUUGAUCAA
This 1703-nucleotide ribosomal RNA is filed under the name Fonticella tunisiensis. RNAcentral describes it as "partial 23S ribosomal RNA". It matches the Rfam family "Bacterial large subunit ribosomal RNA", at positions 1209 to 2925 of the family's 2925-position model. Lineage: Bacteria; Bacillati; Bacillota; Clostridia; Eubacteriales; Clostridiaceae. The record is from RNAcentral.